GACGUAGGGUGCGAGCGUUGUCCGGAUUUAUUGGGCGUAAAGCGUGCGCAGGCGGCUUUGCAAGACAGAUGUGAAAUCCCCGGGCUUAACCUGGGAACUGCAUUUGUGACUGCAUGGCUGGAGUGCGGCAGAGGGGGAUGGAAUUCCGCGUGUAGCAGUGAAAUGCGUAGAUAUGCGGAGGAACACCGAUGGCGAAGGCAAUCCCCUGGGCCUGCACUGACGCUCAUGCACGAAAGCGUGGGGAGCAAACAGG
This 253-nucleotide ribosomal RNA is filed under the name uncultured bacterium. Its description in RNAcentral is "partial 16S ribosomal RNA". It matches the Rfam family "Bacterial small subunit ribosomal RNA", at positions 524 to 776 of the family's 1533-position model. The record is from RNAcentral.